This is a long non-coding RNA of Myiozetetes cayanensis, 124 nucleotides long. RefSeq lists it as uncharacterized. The record is from RefSeq and is a predicted model, not a curated record. The transcript is spliced from 3 exons. NCBI's taxonomy places the organism in Eukaryota, Metazoa, Chordata, Aves, Passeriformes, Tyrannidae.
GACCCCCAGGUGACCCCCAGGUGAGGUCAUGGGUGCUCAGGUGAGGUCAUGGGUGCCCAAUUGACCCCCAGGUGACCCCCAGGUGAGGUCAUGGGUGCUCAGGUGACCCCCAGGUGACCCCAAG